Molecule: ribosomal RNA, 253 nt
Filed under: uncultured bacterium
Lineage: Bacteria
Description: partial 16S ribosomal RNA
Rfam family: Bacterial small subunit ribosomal RNA
Source: RNAcentral
UACGUAGGGUGCGAGCGUUAAUCGGAAUUACUGGGCGUAAAGGGUGCGCAGGCGGUUCUGCAAGUCAGGCGUGAAAGCCCCGGGCUUAACCUGGGAAUGGCGCUUGAAACUACAGGACUAGAGUAUGGCAGAGGGAGGUGGAAUUCCACGUGUAGCGGUGAAAUGCGUAGAGAUGUGGAGGAACACCGAUGGCGAAGGCAGCCUCCUGGGCCAAUACUGACGCUCAUGCACGAAAGCGUGGGGAGCAAACAGG